Non-coding RNA from Oryza glumipatula, 196 nucleotides. The record is from Rfam. NCBI's taxonomy places the organism in Eukaryota, Viridiplantae, Streptophyta, Magnoliopsida, Poales, Poaceae.
AAUAAGUGCAGUUUUACACUGUUCAUGUCCAACAUUUGACCGUUUAUUUUAUUUGAAAUUUUUUUAUGAUUAGUAUUUUUAUUGUUAUUAGAUGAUAAAACAUGAAUAUCACUUUAUGUUUAACUAUUUUUUUUAUAUUUUUUUAAUAAGACGGACGGUUAAACGUUGGAUACGGAUACCCACGGCUGUACUUAUC